Molecule: non-coding RNA, 974 nt
Filed under: Pontoporia blainvillei (franciscana)
Lineage: Eukaryota; Metazoa; Chordata; Mammalia; Artiodactyla; Pontoporiidae
Description: 12S ribosomal RNA
Rfam family: Bacterial small subunit ribosomal RNA
Source: RNAcentral
UAAAGGUUUGGUCCCAGCCUUUCUAUUAGUUAUUAACAGACUUACACAUGCAAGCAUCCACAUUCCAGUGAAAAUGCCCUUUAAUUCACCAAGAACAGAAGGAGCGGGUAUCAAGCACACUUCUAUAGUAGCUCACAACACCUUGCUUAGCCACACCCCCACGGGAUACAGCAGUGACAAAUAUUAAGCCAUGAACGAAAGUUUGACUAAGUCAUGUUAACCAGGGUUGGUAAACUUCGUGCCAGCCACCGCGGUCAUACGAUUAACCCCAAUUAAUAGACAUUCGGCGUAAAGAGUGUUGAGGAUUCAUGCAAAAUAAAGUCAAAUAUCAACUGAACUGUAAAAAGUCAUAGUUAAAACCUAAGAUAAGCUACGAAAGUGACUUUACUACAAUCUGCGUACACGACAACUAAGAUCCAAACUGGGAUUAGAUACCCCACUAUGCUUAGUCGUAAACCCAAUUGGUUCAAUAACAAGACCAUUCGCCAGAGUACUACCGGCAACAGCCUAAAACUCAAAAGACUUGGCGGUGCUUCACAUCCUUCUAGAGGAGCCUGUUCUAUAAACGAUAAACCCCGAUAAACCUCACCAACUCUUGCUACUUCAGUCUAUAUACCGCCAUCUCAAGCAAACCCUAAAAAGGAAUGAAAGUAAGCACAACUAUCUCUCACAAAAACGUUAGGUCAAGGUGUAACCUAUGGGUUGGAAAGAAAUGGGCUACAUUUUCUAUAACAAGAACAUCCUCAUAAAUGAUACGAAAGUUUUUAUGAAACCUAAAAACUAAAGGAGGAUUUAGCAGUAAACUAAGAAUAGAGUGCUUAUUUGAACAAGGCCAUGAAGCACGCACACACCGCCCGUCACCCUCCUCAAGUGACACGACAAAGCCCUAGCUUACUAACACAUGCUAAGUCAACCACACGAGAGGAGACAAGUCGUAACAAGGUAAGCGUACCGGAAGGUGCGCUUGGAUAAAA